GUGCAACUUUGGCAGAACAUAUACUAAAAUGAAAAUGAUACAGAGAAGAUUAGCAUGGCCCCUGUGUGAGGAUGACACAUAAAAAUCAUUUUAGUUUAUAUUU
RNAcentral lists this small nuclear RNA (103 nucleotides) under Neotoma lepida (desert woodrat). The record is from RNAcentral. Lineage: Eukaryota; Metazoa; Chordata; Mammalia; Rodentia; Cricetidae.